GGCUUCAUAGCUCAGUUGGUUAGAGCGUUGCACUGGUAUCGCAAGGUCACAGGUUCAAACCCCGUUGGAGUCC
Molecule: transfer RNA, 73 nt
Filed under: Acropora cervicornis
Lineage: Eukaryota; Metazoa; Cnidaria; Anthozoa; Scleractinia; Acroporidae
Description: tRNA-Thr
Rfam family: tRNA
About the family: Transfer RNA (tRNA) molecules are approximately 80 nucleotides in length. Their secondary structure includes four short double-helical elements and three loops (D, anti-codon, and T loops).
Source: RNAcentral